AGCGAACGCUGGCGGCAGGCUUAACACAUGCAAGUCGAGCGGGCAUAGCAAUAUGUCAGCGGCAGACGGGUGAGUAACGCGUGGGAACGUACCUUUUGGUUCGGAACAACACAGGGAAACUUGUGCUAAUACCGGAUAAGCCCUUACGGGGAAAGAUUUAUCGCCGAAAGAUCGGCCCGCGUCUGAUUAGCUAGUUGGUGAGGUAAUGGCUCACCAAGGCGACGAUCAGUAGCUGGUCUGAGAUGAUGAUCAGCCACAUUGGGACUGAGACACGGCCCAAACUCCUACGGGAGGCAGCAGUGGGGAAUAUUGGACAAUGGGCGCAAGCCUGAUCCAGCCAUGCCGCGUGAGUGAUGAAGGCCCUAGGGUUGUAAAGCUCUUUUGUGCGGGAAGAUAAUGACGGUACCGCAAGAAUAAGCCCCGGCUAACUUCGUG
This 435-nucleotide ribosomal RNA is filed under the name uncultured bacterium. RNAcentral's name for it is "partial 16S ribosomal RNA". It matches the Rfam family "Bacterial small subunit ribosomal RNA", at positions 29 to 507 of the family's 1533-position model. The record is from RNAcentral.